AUCUGUCCUGGCGAUUCUCCAGCACAGCAAGAAAAACUCGCUUGUGUUUAUGCUGAGAUGCCAAGGAUUAUCAUCGAUUGUCAUUCCUAUUUCCUGGAGCCACUUUGGUAAUCUUCAGUUGUUUGUAUAGUGCUUGUUCAUUUGAAUGCUAACAAACAAAUGAAGCCCAUUUGCCAAGUUGAUAUCAGUGGUGUAUGUCAAAAUAAUCUUCAUAUUUCAUAUUGAAAUUUGAAUUUUGUCUUCAUGAAGAUGCCUAAAAAGACUGUUCACUCUGAAAUAUCAGAAGCUGAUAAGUGUUUUGUUUGAACAUGACAAUAUCCCGGAAAAUCUGACAUCUGAAUUUUUAAGGAAAAUAUUUAAAGAAGUCUUUUCGACAGCUCCAUCCUGUGAAGAAAUCCUUCAUUUACGAAAUUUUAGUUAUAGCCGCAAAGACAGUAUACUAGAGCACAUAAGUUGUUGGGCGAUAGAAAACAACCAUUUGAUUCUACUAGACGAGCAUAAAUUGGAAAUUUCGAAUAAAUUAAAGCUCUUUGAUGUGAUUGUUAAGAAAAAAUUUGAAAUUUUACGUUUUGGAUCGAAUUUGAUUGACGAUAUAAUGGAAGAAGCUUGGCAAUCGGUAAAUUCUUGACGAUUCCAGAAAAAUGUAAAGGUUAUAAAAUUAUCAAGAAUCAGCUUGUUUACAUGGACAAAGACGAAACUUCAGCCUUAAGCUUAUCCUAUCAAGCGAUAACGAUGCUAAAGUGGCUUCAAGUUUCUAAAAAAAAUAUUAAUCUUUAUCGAUGAGUGAAUAUUAUUUAGAAAUCGAAGAUGUCCAAGAUGUUAAAUUAGGAGAUCAGUUUUUAGACCAUGACGUCGAUGUUACUAUUCUUACAAAUUUUCUGAAAGAAGAAGCUUGCCACUGGCUGCAAAGAAUGUACAAGAGAAAAAGGCACACAAACGCUUCAGCUGCAGAGAGAAAUCAUUUAGUUAAAUCUCAUAAAAUUAAAGGCAUUUAUAUCUUGAUAAUUGAGAGCGAAUAAUUAUUGCUAUCCCAUUUCCAAAUUUUACUCUCAAAAAAGAUUGCAUACAAGCGUGCAAGCGCAUCCAAAU
Molecule: long non-coding RNA, 1089 nt
Organism: Nasonia vitripennis (jewel wasp)
Lineage: Eukaryota; Metazoa; Arthropoda; Insecta; Hymenoptera; Pteromalidae
Exons: 3
Source: RefSeq, a predicted model, not a curated record